This 622-nucleotide ribosomal RNA is filed under the name uncultured bacterium. RNAcentral describes it as "bacterial SSU rRNA". It matches the Rfam family "Bacterial small subunit ribosomal RNA", at positions 338 to 954 of the family's 1533-position model. The record is from RNAcentral.
CCUACGGGAGGCAGCAGUGGGGAAUUUUGGACAAUGGACGCAAGUCUGAUCCAGCCAUGCCGCGUGCGGGAAGAAGGCCUUCGGGUUGUAAACCGCUUUUGUCAGGGAAGAAAAGGUUCUGGUUAAUACCUGGGACUCAUGACGGUACCUGAAGAAUAAGCACCGGCUAACUACGUGCCAGCAGCCGCGGUAAUACGUAGGGUGCAAGCGUUAAUCGGAAUUACUGGGCGUAAAGCGUGCGCAGGCGGUUAUGCAAGACAGAGGUGAAAUCCCCGGGCUCAACCUGGGAACUGCCUUUGUGACUGCAUAGCUAGAGUACGGUAGAGGGGGAUGGAAUUCCGCGUGUAGCAGUGAAAUGCGUAGAUAUGCGGAGGAGCACCGAUGGCGAAGGCAAUCCCCUGGACCUGUACUGACGCUCAUGCACGAAAGCGUGGGGAGCAAACAGGAUUAGAUACCCUGGUAGUCCACGCCCUAAACGAUGUCAACUGGUUGUUGGGAGGGUUUCUUCUCAGUAACGUAGCUAACGCGUGAAGUUGACCGCCUGGGGAGUACGGCCGCAAGGUUGAAACUCGAAAUAGAGUAGACGCGUGAGACGAGCGACGGACGACGACGAGGGAGGAGG